This 244-nucleotide unclassified non-coding RNA is filed under the name uncultured Ascomycota. RNAcentral's name for it is "sequence contains ITS2". The record is from RNAcentral. Lineage: Eukaryota; Fungi; Ascomycota.
AACGCACAUUGCGCCCCUUGGUAUUCCGGGGGGCAUGCCUGUUCGAGCGUCAUUAUCACCCCUCAAGCUCAGCUUGGUGUUGGGGCCUGCCCGUCACAGGGCAGCCCUUAAAAGCAGUGGCGGUGCCAUCUGGCUCUACGCGUAGUACUACUCCUCGCGACAGAGACCCGGUGGUGUCCUGCCAGAACCCCCCAUUUUUUUAAUGAUUGACCUCGGAUCAGGUAGGGAUACCCGCUGAACUUAA